Molecule: long non-coding RNA, 2738 nt
Organism: Felis catus (domestic cat)
Lineage: Eukaryota; Metazoa; Chordata; Mammalia; Carnivora; Felidae
Exons: 3
Source: RefSeq, a predicted model, not a curated record
UUAAAAAAAAAAAGCAAAAUAAAAAUAUAUUGACUGAAAAAUAUAUAUAUUGACUAGAGCAUUAAAAAUUAAUGAUAAGUGAUAACUCAUUCAUCUGAUAACUAUUUGUGCAUUUCCUAACUGUGUGGCUUUAGCUCCAUGGGGAUCAUACCCCUGGUUGUCAGAAGUCAAACUACCUAAUAAUCACAACAGAUACAGUUACGGAGUAUUUAAUCUCUGCCAGGCAUUGUGUUGAAUCUUUAAAAGAUAUUAUCUCAUUUAAUCCUUACAGCAACCCCAAAGAGGAAGUACUAGUUUCCCAUCUGGAGAAAUAGGACAACUAAAGCUUAGAAAAGUGAAGCAUUUUCCCACUUAUAAGCCGAAGCAGCAGAAUUCCAGGCCAGCUCCAUCUGCCUCCAAAGUCUGUACUCUGAAUCACGCCAACCCUCUGUUCUGUGUUGGGGGGAUAGGAGAUGUGGAUACAUAAAAGACUAUGAUCAGAGAGCUGGAGGUCACAGGGACAAACAAGAUGAGGUGUCAAGGAGCUAAUAAAAGGCAUCCUUGAUGGUUCAGAGCCAGAAGAAGGGAUGGAAGGUGGCGAUGGAGGUGUGGGGAAUGAGGUCACCCUUGGAAGAGAAUGGAAUGUCAAAUAAGAGAGGGUAUUCUGGGGCUGGAUGCCAAGCAGGAGGCAGCGCUAUGCCCCCUCACACACAGGUGGGGCGGAAACCUCUGGACAGGAAAGAGACUAUGUGACUAAGGAGCUUGUAAGCUAUUCAGCUGGAAGCAAACAACACAAGGAGAGCCCACACAGAUGCCUGCUCUGAUGCCUCAUGAGUUUACUGCAAGCAACUCACAUGCGCCUCACGCACACAGACCGCCUGUCUUUUCCAGCUCAGCCAACCAAACCCUAUGAGUCAUGCCCUGGCCCCUCACAUCUGUUCUUAGCUGGCGGUUUGCAGCUACCCAAAAGGAGGGCAGAUGAAAGAUGAAAUUACCCAUUUGGGUUUCAUUGCAGGCUGGACCAAGUGUAAUCGUUGAUGGAGAAACCUCUAUCAGGCCCAGUUUGGAGGGUCACCGAGAAAUGGAUUACAGCUACAGAGAGUUUAUGUGACCCAUCGGUACCAGGUGCAGGUACAGGGGAGUUGAGGCCAUGGCUUAAGGUGAACCCUCACCCUGUGGCCCUUGUCCCUUCGCUGAGUCUAGAGAGCCACUGAUGCCAUUUCUUCUCCCUGCUUCCUCCCUGUGAAGAUGGGGCCUUCGGUCUCCGUCCUCAGUGCUGUUUGUUUGACGGAAAGGGGUAGGAGACUCAGUGCAUUUACCAGGAGCGAGUAGGAGCGUGCCCCCGUCAAGCUCUGUGCAGCAAGGUAGAUCCCUCACUCACUGAGAAGUGACACACACCCUCCACUAAAACUCUCCAAAUCAAAUUUAACACAAAAUGAAAUGUUAAAUGCUUAGAGAAAAGGGAUCACACCUAUAUGUCAGGCCCAGUACCAGAUAUUUUAUAUGGAAUCAUCGUGUGUAAUGACGAUCAUACCCACCCCAUGAGGUUGGCACUAUGUCCCCUUCACAGAUGAGAGAACUGAGGCAGAGCAGAGAUAAACACAUACAGUUCUGCUCUAAAGGUUUUUGUUCCAACAUAAUUGAUGUUUUAGGAAACAAUUUGAACCUAAUGUGAAUUUGUGAUUUUCACGUUUGCUCAUGCUUAUUUGUCACUGCAACACACACUGGGCGGAUGCAGAAACUGCACUUGGCUGAACUGGGCUCCAUAGAAAUGCACAAAACACAUACUUGCAUUUCCGCCAUCCACCUUCAGGUCACCAACGGUUAUGAACCACACCAUCCCUGUCUGCUGCCGCCACAAUUUUCUGUCCCAUUUCAGAUAACCCGGCUUCCACCUGCUUCACAAAUGCCCACAAGUUGCAACCUUUUCAAUGCCCAUUGCUGCAAGCAAAUUCAGUAUCUUUUUCAAGGCUAAGUGCAAUAUUUGUUGUCAUAUUUAUGUAUUUCCCAGCUAUCUAACAAGCGUAAACUACCAUUUAGACUCCUAAAUACUGACAAGUUUUUGUUUUGUGUCCCUUGCUUCGUUUUCCCCAUAAGCUCUGUGGUUCUUAUUGCCUGGUUUUGCAAAGCACAGUGAUUUUCAGAAACACAUAUGUUGUAUUAUAGCAUUAUUAUUUGUAACUUGCUCAAGAUCUCAUGGCCAAGUAGUGGCCCAGCAGAGAUUCAGACGCAAUCUGCAAAGGGACCCAUCCUACCUUCUUAACCCCUGUAUUUUACUGCUUUGACAUGUAUCAUCUGUUCUAAUCUUCACAGAAGCCUUAAGAGAACCUUUUGAUUCACAUUCUUAACCUGAAGAAAUUGAGAUUCAGAAUGUAACUCGCCUAAGGAAAGCUUGGACCAAGUUGACCAUAAGGGAUAAGUCUGAAAUUCACACUCAGGUCAGACUUCCCCGCCACAAAAUGAAAAUCCUGAAGCUAAAGAAGACCUUAGAGAGAAUCUAUUCUGGGAACCACAAAUUGGUGAUGAGCUAAAUUUGACACCAGGCAUGUUUUUCUUGUUGGCAUUCAUGGAUUGUUCUCUUUUGGUUUUCAUAUCAGUAUAAUACUGGACUCACAGACUGAGUUAAGAAAUGUUCCCUUAUGGGGCGCCUGGGUGGCGCAGUCGGUUAAGCGUCCGACUUCAGCCAGGUCACAAUCUCGCGGUCCGGGAGUUUGAGCCCCACGUCAGGCUCUGGGCUGAUGGCUCAGAGCCUGGAGCCU